UGAAGUGGGUUGUGAGACGCACUCAUAAGGUAUACUUGUGAAGAAGAUUUACAUCUAUUUCAUCGUUGUUAUGGUACUUUUGUUGGCAGAUAUUAUUUUGAAGGUUGUUGAAAGUUGUGGCUUCUAGCAUGAUAUUCUAUGCCGUGCUUUGAAUAUCAUAAUCAUAUCACCAAGCAUAUGUGAUUUUUCACAAAUGGGAUAGUAUAAGAGACUAUUUUU
Molecule: long non-coding RNA, 219 nt
Filed under: Lathyrus oleraceus (garden pea)
Lineage: Eukaryota; Viridiplantae; Streptophyta; Magnoliopsida; Fabales; Fabaceae
Description: Pisum sativum (pea) long non-coding RNA (PSAT_LNC007711)
Source: RNAcentral